Long non-coding RNA from Amborella trichopoda, 1097 nucleotides. RefSeq lists it as uncharacterized. Lineage: Eukaryota; Viridiplantae; Streptophyta; Magnoliopsida; Amborellales; Amborellaceae. The record is from RefSeq and is a predicted model, not a curated record.
AUCAAUAUCAAAUCCUUCUCCUUUUUGUCCAUCAAGCUCGACGACUGUUGGUUCAUCUUUGCUUCCACGAAGCCCUGGAAAAGUUGAGAAUCCUCUGAGUCUUGGUUCAAGGUGAAAGAAAGGACAAUUAGCAGAUGUCUCUAAAUCGGCAGAUCUCUUUCUCUCGCUCCGCUCUCCCUCUCUAGGAAAACUCAUAGGAUACAAAGAAAUUACAUUUUCUGGUUCAUGGGUUUCGGAGUAUCCUUUAAUCAUGGUGUAUAUGAAGACAUCGGGCGAUUCUAUAAGAUCGAAGACAGUACGAGCAUAUGGAAGAUUGUUUGAAACUACACCAAAGCCCACAAUUCUGCUGGCGGAAAAUGGGCCUUGAAUCAGGCCAGUGGUGAUAGCUCUACGAAAACUCCCCAUUAGCUCUCUCACCUAAACUAGUCGCCAAACUCCCCUCUCUCUCCCCCCUACGAAAACUCCCCCUAUCUCUGUAAAUCAGUAGCAGUAGCUCUCUCUCUAAAUCAGUAGAUCUCUCUCAGGGUUUGAGAGAUGAAAAAGCUCCCAUGAGAACCCCAACGUGGCAAUCGCAGAGGUGCUGCUCCAAGCAGCCCUAUCUCUCUCAGGCACUUGAGGUUAUUCUUUCAGUUUGACUUGGGUUAGCGGUGGAGAAGAAACAGAGGCAGAGCUGUUGUAUCGUUUAUCAUCACUUGGUACACUAAAGAGAGUGGCUUCGGAAUGGAUGAGGGAAGAAGAUAUUAUAUUCAGCACGAAGAUGUGUCGAUUUUUCUUCAAGAAGAUAUUACAUGUUGCUGGUGUUCGAAUAUAAUACUCGAACUCAUUGUUUUACCAUGUUCAGUGCUAACUCUUUUAGAUAAUCUUAGUGAUCUUUUUGGGGUUGCCUAAUGAUGUAAGGGCAUUCCUUUUGGAAUUUGGUCGAAGAAAGUGGCCCAAUUUAGCAAGAGGGAGGUCAAGUGUUGGCAAAUUUGUCAUCUUCUUGUUCAAUGUAUUUUUUAUGCAUGUAAUAUGUACAUUAUUUAAGAAUGGCCUCUAUGGAUGUUAAGGAAAAGAAUCUUGGUGGCUUAUAGUUUGAUUGGUGCGGCAUUCCUUUUGAA